UACGUAGGGGGCAAGCGUUAUCCGGAUUUACUGGGUGUAAAGGGAGCGUAGACGGCGAUGCAAGCCUGGAGUGAAAGGCGGGGGCUCAACCCCCGGACUGCUUUGGGAACUGCAUGGCUGGAGUGUCGGAGAGGCAGGCGGAAUUCCUAGUGUAGCGGUGAAAUGCGUAGAUAUUAGGAGGAACACCGGUGGCGAAGGCGGCCUGCUGGACUGCAACUGACGUUGAGGCCCGAAAGCGUGGGGAGCAAACAGG
Molecule: ribosomal RNA, 253 nt
Filed under: uncultured bacterium
Lineage: Bacteria
Description: partial 16S ribosomal RNA
Rfam family: Bacterial small subunit ribosomal RNA
Source: RNAcentral